GAUGAACGCUGGCGGCGUGCUUAACACAUGCAAGUCGAACGGAAAGGCCCAAGCUUGCUUGGGUACUCGAGUGGCGAACGGGUGAGUAACACGUGGGUGAUCUGCCCUGCACUUCGGGAUAAGCCUGGGAAACUGGGUCUAAUACCGGAUAGGACCACAUUUUGGAUGGUGUGGUGGAAAGUUUUUCGGUGUGGGAUGAGCUCGCGGCCUAUCAGCUUGUUGGUGGGGUAAUGGCCUACCAAGGCGUCGACGGGUAGCCGGCCUGAGAGGGUGUACGGCCACAUUGGGACUGAGAUACGGCCCAGACUCCUACGGGAGGCAGCAGUGGGGAAUAUUGCACAAUGGGCGCAAGCCUGAUGCAGCGACGCCGCGUGGGGGAUGACGGCCCUCGGGUUGUAAACUCCUUUCGCUAGGGACGAAGCGCAAGUGACGGUACCUGGAGAAGAAGCACCGGCUAACUACGUG
Molecule: ribosomal RNA, 465 nt
Filed under: uncultured bacterium
Lineage: Bacteria
Description: partial 16S ribosomal RNA
Rfam family: Bacterial small subunit ribosomal RNA
Source: RNAcentral